Molecule: ribosomal RNA, 465 nt
Filed under: Vreelandella stevensii
Lineage: Bacteria; Pseudomonadati; Pseudomonadota; Gammaproteobacteria; Oceanospirillales; Halomonadaceae
Description: partial 16S ribosomal RNA
Rfam family: Bacterial small subunit ribosomal RNA
Source: RNAcentral
CCUACGGGAGGCAGCAGUGGGGAAUAUUGGACAAUGGGCGAAAGCCUGAUCCAGCCAUGCCGCGUGUAUGAAGAAGGCCUUCGGGUUGUAAAGCACUUUCAGUGGGGAAGAAAGCCUUGGGGCUAAUACCCUCGAGGAAGGACAUCACCCACAGAAGAAGCACCGGCUAACUCCGUGCCAGCAGCCGCGGUAAUACGGAGGGUGCGAGCGUUAAUCGGAAUUACUGGGCGUAAAGCGCGCGUAGGCGGUCUGAUAAGCCGGUUGUGAAAGCCCCGGGCUCAACCUGGGAACGGCAUACGGAAGGGUCAGGCGAGAGUGCAGGAGAGGAAGGUAGAAUUCCCGGGGGAGCGGUGAAAUGCGUAGAGAGCGGGAGGAAUACCAGUGGCGAAGGCGGCCUUCUGGACUGACACUGACGCUGAGGUGCGAAAGCGUGGGUAGCAAACAGGAUUAGAUACCCGAGUAGUC